CCGAGCCCUAGCCGCCACUCGUUCUUCUUCCCCUUACAGCAAACUCUUUUGCUUGCACCUCCCGGGCGACACACUCAUCAUGUCGUCGUCGAUCCCGUAGCCACCGCGCACCUCGUCGCCUGAGAGGAUGUCCAGGAGGUCCGCCGCGGCCGGAUCCGUCCGUUCCGGGGACCAGCUCAAGCCGGGACGGCCCAUAUGCUCGCCAUCGCCGCCAUCUUCACCCACGGCCACCACAUCUCGCUGUCGAUCCCGUCGCAUUCCGGCCGCCCCGCGCUCCCUAACUACGUCCACGAGCAUCGUGGUGAGCUCUUCGCCCGAUUCCCCUCGUUUUUGUCCUCGAUCCGUUGUCGUAGCUGUCGCCCCCGAGUUCGUCCGAAAGUACGCGUAUGUACGUGCGUGGCCUCGCUCUUGCAGUUGACAGCUACUGUUGCCGUGCCGCCGUAGGACGCUCGCCUGCGUCCGUGUGUCGUUCGUCGCUGCCGCAUCGCCACGCCCCGAGUCCAUCCGCGCGCGCGCUCGUACUACCCUGGCCGCAGCCUCUGCUGUUGCUUUCUCCUGCUGCCGCUGCUGCUCAUUGCUAUUUUUCUCUUGCUACUGCACCGUUGCCGCUGCUCUAAGCUGCUCGUGCGUGGCUAUCUGCUACCUACAGCUGCUUAUUGCUCUCCCUGCCGUCGCUUUGUGUUGCUAUCACUGCUGCCUCCUGCUGAUGCGCUGCUAUACUGCCUCCCGCUGGUAGUGGUGCCGCUCAGGCUGCUAUGCUAGCCGAUGCAUAUGCUAGCCGUUGCUGGUCAUGGACUUGACCAUGGCCGGGUGUGUGUAGCGUGUGUGUGCCAUGCGUGUGUAUGGCCGGCUCUUUGUUUAGUUAAGUAGUUUGAUUUAGGAUUAGUUUAGUAGUACUAAAUUAGUAUACUAAUAAAUGACAUGUGUGUCCCAUUUGAUUAGAUUAAAUAAAUAAGUUUUGAUAUUUAAUAAAGCUCUCACAUGAGGACCCCCAACACUAUUCACUUUGGCCAGUCAAAUUUUGAUAUUUAAUAAGUGGAACUGUGUUAUCCCAGGCCAUCAGGGAUUAAAUCCUGAUGCUCACAUCUAUUUCCGGACUUAUUUCAGGAUUUCCGACGAUGCACAUCCACUAGAAUGAAACAUUCCCGUUGAUGACGAGGUGUCUACGAUGACUUUGCAUGGGGAUAGGGUGUGCAUGUGUGCAUUCAUAGGGAUGAGUGUAUUCGUAUUUAUACGAACGAUUGCGUGUACUGUGUUCAAAAGAAUAUUUUGUCUACAACCUUUUUUACCUCUUUUGGAAUUUUCUCAAUGGUUCUUGAAACAUUUUUUUUCUAUUGCUUUAUUGGUUCUAGUU
This 1354-nucleotide long non-coding RNA is filed under the name Hordeum vulgare. Its description in RNAcentral is "long non-coding RNA (HVUL_LNC008058)". The record is from RNAcentral. Lineage: Eukaryota; Viridiplantae; Streptophyta; Magnoliopsida; Poales; Poaceae.